CAGAGCUCCAACGGGCGCCCAGAGGGCGGGUCGAGACGGGACACAGGCAAGGAUUGGGCACAGGAGCGGCGGGAGGCGGAGCCGCGAGCCUGGCGCGUCCCGGGCCGGCAGCCGGGAGACCCAGGCCCGCAGCCUGCGCCUGGGCGGGGCUCACAGGUGCCGGGGCGGGGCCCUGUGGGGAGCGGGCGGGACCUCGCGAGGGGUGGGCGUGCCCGCGGGCCGCGGGAGACUGGGAUCGGGACCCGGACAGGGACGGGGGCGUCUCCUCCCUCGCUGGCUCGCUCCCUCCCUCCCCUCGGCCGGGCCCCCUCACCCGUGGCGGCCGCUACGCUGGCCGCGCUCCAGCGAGAUGAGCCCUGGGAAUCGAACCAUUGGCUUUGUGCCCUGUGCCUGCCAGGCGAACACUGUACCACAGAGCUCCACCCCACCCCCAAAAUGGGUACUGAAAUCUGACAGCUUAAGCACUCCUGGGCCUCACAGGAGUGGAAAUGGUUAAUCAGACGGCCAUGAACUUGAGCAUGGAGCCCGUGGAGCUGGAAAAUCCGUGGAGAAGGCACUCCCUGUGCAGCCGGGAUGAGGUCCAAAUUACGUUUCAGGACCUCGAAAGGGGCUGGGGACUUAGCUCAGUGGUAGAGUGCCUGUGGGUUUGCUACCCAGUACUGUAGGGCGUGGGGAAGGCAGGCACAAUGGUACAGUGUCCUAAUGCCAGCACUCAGGAGGCUGAGGCAGGAGGAUUGCUGUGAGUUUGAAGCCAGCCUGGGCUAAACAGUGAGAUACUGUAUUGGGGGGGAAAAAACCUUCCAAAACGACAAAAACCACACACACAAGCAAGAAAGAACGAAGCAAAGAAAUGAUAUUAAAAACAGUAAGGCAAGGCUAGGCCAGGGAGUUUGUUUUCUACGGUCAUCUUUAUAAGCGUUGUAGGAGGGACCCACAGUCAUCCCCAAAUCCACUUGGCUCCUGGGUCCUUAAUGUGAAAGUGGACACCGUCACCUUUAGGGACACUGAGACCCCUUGAUUAAGUGAGCCUCCACGAACCCCAGCACAGACCAGCUGGCUUUAUUUUUUUGAGGCAGGAUCUCACUUUGUAGCCCAGGCUGGCUUUGAACUCACAGUGAUCUUCCUGCUUCAGCCUCCUGGGUGCUAGGAUGGCAGGCGUGCGCCCCAUGCCUGAGUGAGCUGGCUCCUUUGAGGAUGAAGGCGAACCCCAGGCCUUGUGCCGCGUGCUCCCAAGCCCCCUGCCUGUGGUUACCUGGGAGAAGAGGGCUCCAGGGAGGACGGCAUUUUGGACGCCUGCUCGGCUCCUAGGGAGGCACUGGGCCAGCAGCACAGCUCGCACGCAGCUCAUGCUCUGGGUUCCGGGUUGGGGAGCCACCUGGCCAGGAGAGAAGAGCGGUGAGCCCGAGCGGCCGGGCCUAGAUGACUGCUGAUUCAGCCAUCUCUGUCUUCAGGCCUGUGCGGCUGUACCACUUUCUAAAAUAUAUUUGUUACCUAUUUUAUUAGAUAGAAAGGCUCAUAAAGUGUUCUGUAUUCUGCCACGUUUUUGUUUCUCAAAUAAUCAUCUUUUAAAAUGUAAGUCAGAGCCUGGUAUGGAGGUGCAGGCCUGUCAUUCCAGCACUCAGGGAAGCUGAGGCAGAAGAUCUCAGGUUCAAGCCCAGCAUGGACAACUUCAUAACUUAGAUCCUGUCUCAAAAGAAACCUUGAAAAAGAAAAAAAAAAAAAAGCUGGGAAUGUAGCUCGGUGCAAAGGCCCUCGGUUCAAUCUCCAGUGAAGAAAGUAAAAAGCAGAUUUAAAAAAAAAAAAAAAAAAGGACGUGGCGAUUUAGCUUAGUGGUAGAGUACAUGUGUAAGGUUUCGAGCUCAUUCCCAGCCCUGCAAAAACAAAACCAAACCUAUACAACCAACCACAAACCCCAAACCAGGUACUUCCAUUUCUGGGGAUUCAUUUGUUACCAUGGCAACACAGGUGUGGGAAGCCAGGGUUUCCCAUGGAGUCCAGCCCCAGCCCCAGCCCCAGCCCGGCCCCAGGCACAUGCUAAAAGCUGAACUCUAAGUCUGGUUCCCAUACAGCAGCGCUGGGGUAUGGCUCUGUGGGGAGCACUUGCCUGGCCCUGUGUUCAGCCCCGAGUUCCAUUCUGGCCCGAGAUGUGACAGGGUCAGGGUCGCAAGCACACAGUGGGGAGGCUGCAAGCUCAGAGAGAUGCGUUCCUAAGGCCUCGCCCGCUUUCCCACGCCAGCCCAAGGCCUUCUGCACGCUAAGGACACACCUAGCACAGAGGCCCAGCCGUGGCCCUCAGUUUUUAGGGUUCUGUUUUUAGUAUACCCACAGAGUCGUGUGAACAUCAUGGGAUCUUGUGAAGAUGCAGACUUUUGUUUUUUUCAAAUGCAGAUUUUCAACUGGGCACAGGUGGUGCAUAUCUGUGAUCUCACAGGCUGGGGCAGGCUUAUUCCAAAUUCAAGCCCAGCCUAUGCAGCUUUGUGAGAUUCAGACUUAAAGUUGAAAAACAAGGGCCGGGGCUGUGGCUCACUGCGAAGGCCCUGGGUUCCAUCCACUUUCCGGCCUGGGGACUGAACCUACAGCCGUCACACAGCUACUCUCUAUUUUUAUUUUUUUGAGAGAGAGUCCUGCUAAGUUGCCCAGGGUGGGCUCGAACUUUUGAUCCUCCUGCCUCAGCCUCCCUGACUGCUGGGAUGACAGGCCUGUGCCACCAGGCCUGGCUCUAGCAGUCCUAGGGCCACCGUGCCCCUCACCUCUCCGUUCAAUCCAUCAACUAGUCCUGGUGAGUAUGUACUUUCAAGUGCAUCCCAAAGGUAACAGGUGCCCUCCAUCUGCAGGCUACCACCCUGAUCCGUGAUCCAUUUGCUGCAUACCUGCCCAGCCUCCCACUUCUGCACCCCAACAGCUCUCCCUCCAGGGCCAGAGACAGCCUUGACAAAUGUCAUCCAAGCUACGCAGCAACAGUGUUUUUGAAACAAGCUGAUUUCAGUCUCAGACCCCUGGUAUGUCUCCCUCUGCCUGGAACUUUCUUCCUCCAGAUCUUGCAAAUACUGUAAUCAUUUAGGCUUCUGUUCAAAGGCCAGUUCUUCUGAUCCCCACCUCAUUCUUCCAGGCUAAAAUAUAAGCCUUGAGGCUGAGGCAGGCAGAUCGCUUUGAGUUCAAGGCCACCCUGAACAAUACAGCGAGACUAUGUCUCCAAAAAAUGAAGUAAGAUAAUUCCUCAUCCUGAUUAAUGCGUUUUUAGCAACUACCCUACCUGAAACCACCCGUUUAUUUCUGACUUGGUCAAUGUCCGGGUGUCUGAAGACAUAGAUUUGUCUACCUUUCUCACUGCUGUUUACAGAAGCCGGGGGGGGGGGGCGCCAGGAAUAUGGUUAAGUAACUGCCAACGACGAGUAAGCGGGGAGUUUCUACUAAACCUCUAUAAUCGGCAUCCUGAGGCAGGUGUAAUCUAACAGCUCCUAGGCUGGGCGCCCCGAAACAAGCAGGCGCAGCUUUCAGCCCCCGCCUCUCUGCAGCGGGGACUAAAGCCUUGACCUCUCUGAGUCACCUACGUACCCCGAAAAGCAGGAGAUUCCCACAGCGGGGUGGCAGCGCACGGCGGGCAGCCUUUUCCCUCACAUCCCCGUCCCGCACCCCAAAAGGUCACAGCGCCCCGACCUUGCAGCUGGGUCUCUCUAAAGCCACCCUCUCGCGCUGCUAGGUCCAAAACGGGAUGUCCGAGCCCCCAGAGGUUCGUGUCCACCUUCCCGCGUGCGCCCUACCUACUCACGCGACAGGCCACGGAACCCGGGCAGGUUUUGUCUUGCUCCUGGGCGCCGCCAUGUUAAUCAAAGGAACUUCCGGGUUACAGGUCACCAGGGAGCCAGCAAAUCAAAAGAGUCGAUUUUGACAGAUCCCGCCCAUAAGAGAAUAAUAACCAAUAUAAAGAAGCUAUUACUUUGGUUCCGCCUCCUAAAGCGAAAAGCCACACUCCCUAAUCUGGCAAGCCGACUUGCAGAUCUGGGAACUGUGGAGUGAGACCCAUGGGGAGGUGUUAGGUUUUUCCUGGCUGUGAAGAUGGAUUUGGGAGACCAGUAAGACCUGCCAGGAGCCCCAGUUAUCUGACCUGAAAUCCAGGAGUGAAUUAGUGAAAGUUGGAGGGAUAUGGAUUAUUCACUCGACAAGCAUUUUUUGGGCGCUCACUGUGUGUCAGACACAGUUCUAGGCUCCAAGGAUACCUCGCUGAUGUGAAGGAGACAGACCCAUACUCCAGCUCCGUGGUCCUUCGCUUAUGCUUAGCCCAUCUGUGCCUCAAUGCUGUCACCCGUGAAAUGGGUCAAUUAUAAUACAAAAUAUUUUUAAGA
Cavia porcellus (domestic guinea pig) is the source of this 4343-nucleotide long non-coding RNA. RefSeq lists it as uncharacterized. The record is from RefSeq and is a predicted model, not a curated record. NCBI's taxonomy places the organism in Eukaryota, Metazoa, Chordata, Mammalia, Rodentia, Caviidae. The transcript is spliced from 2 exons.